This 67-nucleotide transfer RNA is filed under the name Acidiella diversa. Its description in RNAcentral is "tRNA-His". Lineage: Eukaryota; Metazoa; Arthropoda; Insecta; Diptera; Tephritidae. The record is from RNAcentral.
AUUUAAAUAGUUUAAUAAAAAUAUUGAUUUGUGGUGUCAAUGAUAUGAUUAUAAAUCAUUUUAGAUU